Molecule: ribosomal RNA, 301 nt
Filed under: uncultured bacterium
Lineage: Bacteria
Description: partial 16S ribosomal RNA
Rfam family: Bacterial small subunit ribosomal RNA
Source: RNAcentral
CAGUAGCCGCGGUAAUACGAAGGGGGCUAGCGUUGUUCGGAAUUACUGGGCGUAAAGCGCACGUAGGCGGAUAUUUAAGUCAGGGGUGAAAUCCCAGAGCUCAACUCUGGAACUGCCUUUGAUACUGGGUAUCUUGAGUAUGGAAGAGGUUAGUGGAAUUGCGAGUGUAGAGGUGAAAUUCGUAGAUAUUCGCAGGAACACCAGUGGCGAAGGCGGCUAACUGGUCCAUUACUGACGCUGAGGUGCGAAAGCGUGGGGAGCAAACAGGAUUAGAUACCCCUGUAGUCCCUGUCUCUUAUAC